RNAcentral lists this ribosomal RNA (226 nucleotides) under Lactobacillus gasseri. RNAcentral's name for it is "partial 16S ribosomal RNA". It matches the Rfam family "Bacterial small subunit ribosomal RNA", at positions 1 to 199 of the family's 1533-position model. The record is from RNAcentral. Lineage: Bacteria; Bacillati; Bacillota; Bacilli; Lactobacillales; Lactobacillaceae.
GAAAAUGAGAGUUUGAUCCUGGCUCAGGACGAACGCUGGCGGCGUGCCUAAUACAUGCAAGUCGAGCGAGCUUGCCUAGAUGAAUUUGGUGCUUGCACCAGAUGAAACUUGAUACAAGCGAGCGGCGGACGGGUGAGUAACACGUGGGUAACCUGCCCAAGAGACUGGGAUAACACCUGGAAACAGAUGCUAAUACCGGAUAACAACACUAGACGCAUGUCUAGAG